Molecule: long non-coding RNA, 526 nt
Organism: Canis lupus familiaris (dog)
Lineage: Eukaryota; Metazoa; Chordata; Mammalia; Carnivora; Canidae
Exons: 3
Source: RefSeq, a predicted model, not a curated record
CUGUGAAUCAGUGAAUAAUUUCACAGUCCACCCACCCAGCAACACCCAAAACAGUGACGGAAAACACGGCCCAGGUCUCCUCAAAGUGCACAGGACAGGCGAGAGCUCCGAUUCUGCCCAAAUAAUACGCGGGCAUCGGAGCGACGAGCUAACAGGAGAUUAUCAUUUCCCACGGGCCGUCCUUCCUCCCCUUCUCUUUCGCAGCUCCAUCUCAUCCUCGAAAAACAUUAGACAAACUCAAACCGAAGGACGGUCUACAAAACGCCUCGACCCACAUUCCUCAAAACUGUCAAGGUCAUCAAACACAAGGAAGGACGAGAGCCUCUCACAGCCCAGAGGAGCCUAUGGAGUCAUGAUGAGCUGAAUCCUGACUGCUUUAUCCAGAUCCAAGAAUUGCCUUGAAUUUAUCAGAUAUAUAAACACAGGAUCACAAAUCCUACUGCAGCUACAAACCAAGGAAUGUGAUUUCUUUAUUUGCAACAGUAAAUUGCAUGAAAAUGCUCAUGAUAUGCCUUUGAAUAUAAUC